AAGGGACGUAGCGGCGGAAGAUCAGCAUGUGGACGACAAUGUGUUUUUCUUUGAUUGAAAACUUUGCUUUGGUAGGCCUUCUAUAUGGGGCCUGCCAGAGAUUAAACUCAACCAAAUUUUAUUUAAUGUCAACCGAUUAUUUAAUAGUCAAAACUUUCAACAACGGAUCUCUUGGUUCUCGCAUCGAUGAAGAACGCAGCGAAAUGCGAUAAGUAAUAUGAAUUGCAGAUAUUCGUGAAUCAUCGAAUCUUUGAACGCACAUUGCGCCCUUUGGUAUUCCAAAGGGCAUGCCUGUUUGAGCGUCAUUUCUCCCUCAAACCCUCGGGUUUGGUGUUGAGCGAUACGCUGGGUUUGCUUGAAAGAAAGGCGGAGUAUAAACUAAUGGAUAGGUUUUUUCCACUCAUUGGUACAAACUCCAAAACUUCUUCCAAAUUCGACCUCAAAUCAGGUAGGACUACCCGCUGAACUUAAGCAUAUCAAUAAGCGGAGGAGAAA
Molecule: ribosomal RNA, 495 nt
Filed under: Lodderomyces parapsilosis
Lineage: Eukaryota; Fungi; Ascomycota; Pichiomycetes; Serinales; Debaryomycetaceae
Description: eukaryotic LSU rRNA
Rfam family: 5.8S ribosomal RNA (bases 152-305)
Source: RNAcentral